Long non-coding RNA from Osmia bicornis bicornis, 486 nucleotides. RefSeq lists it as uncharacterized. Lineage: Eukaryota; Metazoa; Arthropoda; Insecta; Hymenoptera; Megachilidae. The transcript has 3 exons. The record is from RefSeq and is a predicted model, not a curated record.
UCAAUGAAAUUUUAUCUGUUAUUUUACAUCUACUUUCACAAUAAUACUAAGAAGCAACAAUAAAACUUACAACUUCGUUAUACUUUAUUCAAGCGUGUUCGAUGUCCAUUUUCCCAAGCAAUUUCCGGUUUUUAGUCAAGUGACAAUCUAUCAAGUUUAGAGCACAUACAUAUGUGUGCGCAUCGUGUAAUCAGAUACAGUAGGGAGGAAAAUUAAUUAUAAUUCUUUGAAGACAAAUAUCAAACAGUUAAUUCGACCAAAGGUAAUUUAUUAUUUGAUUAAUUUGAACCUACGAACCCGAACUCGAACCCGUCCCCGUACCGUUUUAUUGAAUCUGUAUAUAUGGAUGUACAUAUGUAAGUACAUACAAUCGGCCAAGAAUUUAUCAUUACAAUAUUUGAUGUGAUUAACUUUCAAGUAUCUCGUUAUCGGCAGCAACGGUAGCUAUUACCGAACCGAAGGAUAAUAAACCGUAGCGGAGACGAU